RNAcentral lists this ribosomal RNA (465 nucleotides) under Vreelandella stevensii. Its description in RNAcentral is "partial 16S ribosomal RNA". It matches the Rfam family "Bacterial small subunit ribosomal RNA", at positions 338 to 795 of the family's 1533-position model. The record is from RNAcentral. Lineage: Bacteria; Pseudomonadati; Pseudomonadota; Gammaproteobacteria; Oceanospirillales; Halomonadaceae.
CCUACGGGAGGCAGCAGUGGGGAAUAUUGGACAAUGGGGGGAACCCUGAUCCAGCCAUGCCGCGUGUGUGAAGAAGGCCCUCGGGGUGUAAAGCACUUUCAGUGAGGAAGAACGCCUGGUGGUUAAUACCCAUCAGGAAAGACAUCACUCACAGAAGAAGCACCGGCUAACUCCGUGCCAGCAGCCGCGGUAAUACGGAGGGUGCGAGCGUUAAUCGGAAUUACUGGGCGUAAAGCGCGCGUAGGUGGCUUGAUAAGCCGGUUGUGAAAGCCCCGGGCUCAACCUGGGAACGGCAUCCGGAACUGUCAAGCUAGAGUGCAGGAGAGGAAGGUAGAAUUCCCGGUGUAGCGGUGAAAUGCGUAGAGCUCGGGAGGAAUACCAGUGGCGAAGGCGGCCUUCUGGACUGACACUGACACUGAGGUGCGAAAGCGUGGGUAGCAAACAGGAUUAGAUACCCUUGUAGUC